This 468-nucleotide ribosomal RNA is filed under the name uncultured bacterium. Its description in RNAcentral is "partial 16S ribosomal RNA". It matches the Rfam family "Bacterial small subunit ribosomal RNA", at positions 28 to 507 of the family's 1533-position model. The record is from RNAcentral.
GACGAACGCUGGCGGCGUGCUUAACACAUGCAAGUCGAACGGAAAGGCCCUGCUUUUGUGGGGUGCUCGAGUGGCGAACGGGUGAGUAACACGUGAGUAACCUGCCCUUGACUUUGGGAUAACUUCAGGAAACUGGGGCUAAUACCGGAUAUGAGCUCCUGCUGCAUGGUGGGGGUUGGAAAGUUUCGGCGGUUGGGGAUGGACUCGCGGCUUAUCAGCUUGUUGGUGGGGUAGUGGCUUACCAAGGCUUUGACGGGUAGCCGGCCUGAGAGGGUGACCGGCCACAUUGGGACUGAGAUACGGCCCAGACGCCGACGGGAGGCAGCAGUGGGGAAUAUUGCAGGAUGGGCGGAAGCCUGAUGCAGCAACGCCGCGUGCGGGAUGACGGCCUUCGGGUUGUAAACCGCUUUCGCCUGUGACGAAGCGUGAGUGACGGUAAUGGGUAAAAAAGCACCGGCUAACUACGUG